GAUAAACGCUGGCGGCGCACAUAAGACAUGCAAGUCGAACGAACUUAACUCAUUCUUUUAGUUUGAGAGCGGUUAGUGGCGGACUGGUGAGUAACACGUAAGCAAUCUGCCUAUCAGAGGGGAAUAACAGUGAGAAAUCAUUGCUAAUACCGCAUAUGCUAACAGUAUCGCAUGAUAUAGUUAGGAAAGGAGCAAUCCGCUGAUAGAUGAGCUUGCGCCUGAUUAGCUAGUUGGUGGGGUAACGGCCUACCAAGGCGACGAUCAGUAGCCGGACUGAGAGGUUGAACGGCCACAUUGGGACUGAGAUACGGCCCAGACUCCUACGGGAGGCAGCAGUCGGGAAUAUUGCGCAAUGGAGGAAACUCUGACGCAGUGACGCCGCGUAUAGGAAGAAGGUUUUCGGAUUGUAAACUAUUGUCGUUAGGGAAGAGAAAGGACAGUACCUAAGGAGGAAGCUCCGGCUAACUACGUGCCAGCAGCCG
RNAcentral lists this ribosomal RNA (482 nucleotides) under uncultured bacterium. RNAcentral describes it as "bacterial SSU rRNA". It matches the Rfam family "Bacterial small subunit ribosomal RNA", at positions 28 to 517 of the family's 1533-position model. The record is from RNAcentral.